This is a small nuclear RNA of Sorex fumeus (smoky shrew), 159 nucleotides long. RefSeq annotates it as U1 spliceosomal RNA. NCBI's taxonomy places the organism in Eukaryota, Metazoa, Chordata, Mammalia, Eulipotyphla, Soricidae. The record is from RefSeq and is a predicted model, not a curated record. The transcript has a single exon.
AUUUUUACCUGGCAGAGGAAAUACCAUUAUCACGAAGGGUGGCUUUCCCAGAGCAAGACUGAUCCAUUGCACUCCAGAUGUGCUGACCCCUGCGAUUUCUUCAAGUAUGGGAAACUCAACUACAAAAUUUAUGGUAGCGGGGGACCACGUUCACCCUCU